Molecule: ribosomal RNA, 301 nt
Filed under: uncultured bacterium
Lineage: Bacteria
Description: partial 16S ribosomal RNA
Rfam family: Bacterial small subunit ribosomal RNA
Source: RNAcentral
CAGCAGCCACGGUAAUACGUAGGGUCCGAGCGUUGUCCGGAAUUAUUGGGCGUAAAGGGCUCGUAGGCGGUUUGUUGCGUCGGGAGUGAAAACCGGGUGCUUAACACCUGGCUUGCUUUCGAUACGGGCAGACUUGAGGCAUGCAGGGGAGAACGGAAUUCCUGGUGUAGCGGUGAAAUGCGCAGAUAUCAGGAGGAACACCGGUGGCGAAGGCGGUUCUCUGGGCAUGUUCUGACGCUGAGGAGCGAAAGUGUGGGGAGCGAACAGGAUUAGAUACCCCAGUAGUCCCUGUCUCUUAUAC